Molecule: ribosomal RNA, 400 nt
Filed under: uncultured bacterium
Lineage: Bacteria
Description: bacterial SSU rRNA
Rfam family: Bacterial small subunit ribosomal RNA
Source: RNAcentral
GGGGAAUAUUGCACAAUGGGCGAAAGCCUGAUGCAGCAACGCCGCGUGAGUGAUGAAGGCCUUCGGGUUGUAAAGCUCUGUCUUCAGGGACGAUAAUGACGGUACCUGAGGAGGAAGCCACGGCUAACUACGUGCCAGCAGCCGCGGUAAUACGUAGGUGGCAAGCGUUGUCCGGAUUUACUGGGCGUAAAGGAUGCGUAGGCGGAUUUUUAAGUGGGAUGUGAAAUACCCGAGCUCAACUUGGGUGCUGCAUUCCAAACUGGAAGUCUAGAGUGCGGGAGAGGAGAGUGGAAUUCCUAGUGUAGCGGUGAAAUGCGUAGAGAUUAGGAAGAACACCAGUGGCGAAGGCGACUCUCUGGACCGUAACUGACGCUGAGGCAUGAAAGCGUGGGGAGCAAAC